RNAcentral lists this long non-coding RNA (1238 nucleotides) under Olea europaea (common olive). Its description in RNAcentral is "long non-coding RNA (OEUR_LNC011541)". Lineage: Eukaryota; Viridiplantae; Streptophyta; Magnoliopsida; Lamiales; Oleaceae. The record is from RNAcentral.
CAGCUCAUAUGGUUCUCCAUUCAGGCAUCGGGCACGACAGUAUAAAAUCUAGCAGCAGCAACUUUGUCUGCAAGCUUCCUUAAUAAUUGACUGUGCAUUACAUAUAUUAGCACCUCAACAUUAUAUGGCUUUACAUUAAUUUCACAUGGCAAUGUAGGAAUCUAGCAAGUUAGGUAGGUACACAAGGAUAUCAACCAUACGCCUAGAACAGGGAAGAAACAUCUGCAAAAUCAAUAAGUUCUAUAAUAACAAGUACACAUGAGUAAAAUCUUAUCCUAAUUUAGGAAGAAAACAGAGAUUAAGUACUUCAAGUUAGGAGCUUCAUAUCCUGCAUGGAUCAAACCAAAUGAGAAAAAUAAGAAUGCAAAAAUAAUAGUAGAUAUUUAUUUCUAUAAACAAGGAUAGAUUAGUGUACAACAUGUUGACAUGAUAUACAUGGGAUGCAAGUAUAUCCACUCCCACCAAUUACAACAAACCUAUAUCCCCUUUUAGGUUCUGAAAAUUAGCCAAAAGACUAUGUGACAUCUAUAUUUUAAUUAAGUACAGCUUCCCUUAUAGUGAAGAGAUUAAGAUCUAUCUUUUCAACAAACAUAAUCAAACUUUCCGAGAGUAUGUUUAACUCUCGAAUAGAAGAGAGGAUUCUUUAAUUUGAACUACAAAAAGAGAGAACUGUUUUUGCUCUCAUAAUCAAUAAAUAUAUAAAAAGGAACUUGCUUCACGUAAUGUUGAUCAUCAUCCUCGCUUCGGUUCUCAAAUACUUGGAUCACCUUCUAUCGGUUUCUUUAGUUAAAGGAAGAUAAAUAAAUGAAAAAAAAAAAGUGUGAAAUGACUUUAAACAAGAAAAACCUUUUUGCUAGAGGCAUGACAAUACUCAAGUCGCAUAUGCAAGAUGAGUAGCUUGAAAGCAACUAGCUUGGCAUCCACAAAAAAAUUGUUAAUUAACUUUUAAUCCCAAGAAAAACAGAAUAUGAAUAGAAGCUAAGAUGCCUUAAAAAUCAUGAAUACCAUAUUAAGCAAUAAGAUACAAACUUUGCAAUACCAUAAUCCCAUAAUAAUGAAUAUAAACAAACCCUUUCCAACUAGGCAGUGAAAUUAUAAUUACAAGUGUAUCAUUUUUCAUUUAGCCUGCAAACAAACAAAACUUAAUAAAGUGUCAAGAAAAGUGACACAAUACAUAUUCACGACCCAAAAAUACGUAUUCAAAUAAUUGAAAAGCAAAAGUUCUACUGCAAUAAAAA